RNAcentral lists this ribosomal RNA (443 nucleotides) under uncultured bacterium. RNAcentral's name for it is "partial 16S ribosomal RNA". It matches the Rfam family "Bacterial small subunit ribosomal RNA", at positions 338 to 795 of the family's 1533-position model. The record is from RNAcentral.
ACUACGGGAGGCUGCAGUGGGGAAUAUUGGGCAAUGGGCGCAAGCCUGACCCAGCAACGCCGCGUGAAGGAAGAAGGCUGUCGGGUGGGAAACUUCUUUUCUCAGGGACGAAGCAAGUGACGGUACCUGAGGAAUAAGCCAGGGCUAACUACGUGCCAGCAGCGGCGGUAAUACGGAGGUGGGAAGCGUUAUCAGGAUUUACUGGGGGUAAAGGGCGUGUAGGGGGGAAAGCAAGUCAGAUGUGAAAACCAUGGGCGCAACCUGUGGACUGCAUUUGAAACUGUUUUUCUUGAGUACUGGAGAGGCAGACGGAAUUCCUAGUGUAGCGGUGAAAUGCGUAGAUAUUAGGAGGAACACCAGUGGCGAAGGCGGUCUGCUGGACAGCAACUGACGCUGAGGCGCGAAAGCGUGGGGAGCAAACAGGAUUAGAUACCCUAGUAGUC